Etheostoma spectabile (orangethroat darter) is the source of this 244-nucleotide long non-coding RNA. RefSeq lists it as uncharacterized. Lineage: Eukaryota; Metazoa; Chordata; Actinopteri; Perciformes; Percidae. The transcript has 3 exons. The record is from RefSeq and is a predicted model, not a curated record.
UUAUCGACAAAGGUCAGUUUGAAAGAUUUUUGUCAGAUUAUGAGAGGCGUUUGUCACGCUCAUCCCGCUCGUAAUUUCCGGUAAGUGUUUUAACAUAAGUAUACUGAAUAGCUAGUUGCCCACUGGCCGAUUCAACAAGUCAAAUUCGCCCAAAUUAAAGCCGAUGGCUCCUCUGACUGACGACGGUACGGAACACACCGAACAGACUCGAGUCACCGACCUCGCCAGACUGUCAGAUAAUCGG